UACGUAGGGUGCGAGCGUUAAUCGGAAUUACUGGGCGUAAAGCGUGCGCAGGCGGCUUUGCAAGACAGAUGUGAAAGCCCCGGGCUCAACCUGGGAAUGGCCGUUGAAACUGGCGAACUGGAGUGUGGCAGAGGGGGGUGGAAUUCCGCGUGUAGCAGUGAAAUGCGUAGAGAUGCGGAGGAACACCGAUGGCGAAGGCAGCCCCCUGGGCUGACACUGACGCUCAGGCACGAAAGCGUGGGGAGCAAACAGG
RNAcentral lists this ribosomal RNA (253 nucleotides) under uncultured bacterium. RNAcentral's name for it is "partial 16S ribosomal RNA". It matches the Rfam family "Bacterial small subunit ribosomal RNA", at positions 524 to 776 of the family's 1533-position model. The record is from RNAcentral.